This 253-nucleotide ribosomal RNA is filed under the name uncultured bacterium. Its description in RNAcentral is "partial 16S ribosomal RNA". It matches the Rfam family "Bacterial small subunit ribosomal RNA", at positions 524 to 776 of the family's 1533-position model. The record is from RNAcentral.
UACGAAGGGUGCAAGCGUUACUCGGAAUUACUGGGCGUAAAGCGUGCGUAGGUGGUUCGUUAAGUCUGAUGUGAAAGCCCUGGGCUCAACCUGGGAAUGGCAUUGGAUACUGGCGACCUAGAGUGCGGUAGAGGGGUGUGGAAUUCCCGGUGUAGCAGUGAAAUGCGUAGAUAUCUGGAGGAACACCGGUGGCGAAGGCGGCAUCCUGGACCGGCAUUGACGCUGAGGCGCGAAAGCCAGGGGAGCAAACGGG